UAAUAAGUACGGAGCAAUGUUUGUUUUGUGAAGCGAGUCAGAUCCUGACGGAAGCAGCUCUAAGCAGAGGAGACAUGUGCUCUUUUUUUUAUUUUCA
This 97-nucleotide signal recognition particle RNA is filed under the name Streptococcaceae bacterium. Its description in RNAcentral is "signal recognition particle sRNA small type". It matches the Rfam family "Bacterial small signal recognition particle RNA". Rfam says of the family: The signal recognition particle (SRP) is a universally conserved ribonucleoprotein involved in the co-translational targeting of proteins to membranes. Archaeal SRP consists of a 7S RNA and homologues of the eukaryotic SRP19 and SRP54 proteins. The record is from RNAcentral. Lineage: Bacteria; Bacillati; Bacillota; Bacilli; Lactobacillales; Streptococcaceae.